ACACCUCAACCCUCUAAUGUUUUUGCAUUGAAGGCGUUGGUAGUGAGCGCUGCCGGUCUUUGGGUCGGCUCGCUUUAAAAUAAUUAGCUGGAUCCAUUCUGACCUGGUUCUACUCGGCGUAAUAAGUUAUUAUCGUCGAGGACGCCUAGCCUUCUAGGCAGGCGGCCACAGUAAGGGUGUUUGAACCGCUUCCAACACGUCUUGCUCUUGUAGCAAACACUUGAAC
This 226-nucleotide unclassified non-coding RNA is filed under the name Geminibasidium sp. RNAcentral describes it as "partial internal transcribed spacer 2". The record is from RNAcentral. Lineage: Eukaryota; Fungi; Basidiomycota; Geminibasidiomycetes; Geminibasidiales; Geminibasidiaceae. RNAcentral also lists the same sequence under 2 other names.